AGAAGGAGAGGGAGAAGCAGGGAGCCAAUGUGGGACUCGAUCCUAGGACCCUGGGAUCAUGACCUCAGCCAAAGGCAUAGGCUUAACCCAAUUGAGCCACCCAGACAUCCUGAGGGUACUGUUUUUAAUACCAGUAGAGUAUAUAGUCACAGAGAAAAACUCAACAUUUUAUUCAAUUUCAAUACAAAUUUGUUGCAUACCAAUGGGAUAAAAAAUAAGAAAAAAAGAUAGGGAUGCCUGGGUGGCUCAGCAGUUGAGCAUCUGCCUUUGACUCAGGUCGUGAUCCCGGGUCUGGGGAUCAAGUCCCGCGUCAAGCUCCCUGCAGGGAGCCUGCUUCUCCCUCUACCUCUGUCUCUGCCUCUCUGUGUGUGUCUCUCAUGAAUAAAUAAAAUCUUAAAAAAAAAAAAAAAAGACUACGGGGGCACUAUAAACUUAUUUAUGAAUGGAUGUUUAUCUAUCUAUUUUACCAUGCUUCCUACCAUGAGGACUAACGUUUAUUAUAUUAGAUCCUCUUUGCUUCUUCUAUCUUUAGAAUAUAUUGUUGCAUAUUGGAACUCUAUUUCCAAGUGACAGAAAGCUAACUAAAAAUAUCUUAAGCAAUAAAAGGGUAUUUAUUGGUUCAUUUAACUGGUAAGGACAGAGUACAGCUAGGUGCAGGGUCAACUAAAUCCAGGGAUUCUGGGUCAUCCUAAUUGUUUUUCAUCUCUCUUUUUCCUUUUCUGGCCUUAUUCUCUCCUGCUAUGGAGAGCCUUCCUCUGUACAACAGGAGCCAAGGCCAAGGCAGCUCCAGACUUAACAUCAGCCCACUUUAGUAUCUCGGAGGAAACAAGUAUAUCAGUAUAUACAAUUCCAGAGAAGGGUUUUGGUUGAUCUGGUCGGGAUUUCAUGUUCAGUCCUUGGACUCAGAGAUUGUGAAAAUUUUUGGCCAAGUAAUGUGAGUAUGGAGUUUAAGCUUACAGAAUCAGGACACUUAAAAGCUCAGCUUCACCAUACUUCAGUGUUCCCUACUCCUGUACAAUCAAAUUCUUGCAAAAAGGAAAGAUGUGUGUCCAGCCUGGAAAAUAGCUUUCUUAAACUGAAUUCUGUUAAUGACCGUGUAUGUUAGGCUUUUGCUGAUAAUUAUAAUUAAAUUUUAACCACUCACUAAAAUGGCCCUAAGAACAUCUACUUGGCCACA
Molecule: long non-coding RNA, 1177 nt
Organism: Canis lupus familiaris (dog)
Lineage: Eukaryota; Metazoa; Chordata; Mammalia; Carnivora; Canidae
Exons: 2
Source: RefSeq, a predicted model, not a curated record